This 76-nucleotide transfer RNA is filed under the name Candidatus Omnitrophota bacterium. RNAcentral describes it as "tRNA-Ala". It matches the Rfam family "tRNA". Rfam says of the family: Transfer RNA (tRNA) molecules are approximately 80 nucleotides in length. The record is from RNAcentral. Lineage: Bacteria; Pseudomonadati; Candidatus Omnitrophota.
GGGGCUGUGGCGCAGCUGGGAGCGCGUCUGACUGGCAGUCAGAAGGUCAGGGGUUCGAACCCCCUCAGCUCCACCA